Molecule: long non-coding RNA, 1799 nt
Organism: Macaca mulatta (Rhesus monkey)
Lineage: Eukaryota; Metazoa; Chordata; Mammalia; Primates; Cercopithecidae
Source: Ensembl
GCGCGGCGCCGGGGAGGAGUCCGGGGCGGCGGCGCGGGGCGCGCGCUCGGCGAGGGCGCCCUCUCCAGGGCCGCCUGCAGCCUGAGGGACUGGGCCGAGCGGCGGCCGGCCUGGGCGCUCCUGCGGCCUUCCCUGGAUGGUGGGCGGAAAAUAACCCAUAGCCAGAGGCACCAUUGCUGAAUUUCCAGUCUCCAAGGACGGCUUCCACAUUUCCAGGAAAAGAAAACAGGUUCAAGCCAUCUUCCUCCCUCAGCCUCCAGAGUAGCUGGGACUACAGGCACGGGCCACUGCACCCAGCAAAUUGACUUUCCAGAUCUCACUGGCAACACUGGAGUCUGGGGAGAAGACGCUUUCUCAGUUUUGAGGCAAGUAAUGUUCACCCUGGCAUUCUAUACCCAGCCAAACUGUUUAUCAAGUGAGAGGACAGAAUAAAAAUGUUUUCACAAAUGCCAGAGCACAGGCAUUUGUUUUUCAUACCCCUGUUGCUAGGAAGUUACUUGAGGAUGUGCUCCAGCAGGACCAGGGGGCGAAACCAAGAGAGGGAGAUGCAGGCACUAUGAGUCUGUAGAUCCAGCUCUGUGUGGAGGGAAAGGAAGGUCAGGAAUAGAGGAGCAGGCCUGGGGUCAACCGAUCCACACUGCAACAGCCACCAGGGGAUGCAGGGAGGCGUCUGGAUGUUAUGAUGGAGAAACAACCAUUUUGAGGGAGAAAAUGAUGAUUAAAUAAAGGCACACAUCUAAAAACAUGGGUCAUUAAAUCUCCACGAAAACAAGAAAAUGAUACAGGAGGCUUGGGACAAGAUUGAAAUGUGAUAUGAUCUGGAACAAAGAGUGGAGAAUGAGUAAAGAACCCAUUUGGCUGGGGGCGGUGGCUCACGCCUGGAAUCCCAACACUUUGAGAAGCAGAGGUGGGCAGAUCUUUUGAGCCCAGGAGUUCAAGACCAGCCUGGGUAACAUGGCGAACCCCUGGACCAUGCCUGUGGUCCUAGCUACUCAGGAGGCUGAGGCAGGAGGAUUGCUUGAGCCCAGGAGCUUAAGGCUGCAGUGAGCCAAGAUGAUGACACUGCACUCCAGCCUGGAUGUCAGAGCGAGACCUUGUUUCAAACAAACAAAAAAAUAACCCACUUGCUCUGGAGUUACCCUCAAAUUCCCAGGGAUUGUGGGAGAAGACGUCACGGCAGGCCUGGCCCCGCCCUGAGUGAUACUUACACAGUCAUCACCAGCCACACAUUCCUCGCUGAUUUUCGAAUGUCAGGGCAUCUCAGGGCCAGGCGUGGUCCCAGGACCAAGGACACCCCUAGCCUGGACGCUGUGGAGGGAGGUGGGAGGCGGAGCUGGGUCUGUGGUUGGACCCACAGCUCUUCGGGAUUCUGUUCAUUUGUCCACCGGCUCCUCUGGCUUCCAUCGCUCUCCUGCACUAGAACGUAAGCUUCAUGGGGCUGAGCCCGAGGCCGUCUUGUCCCCUCCUGCUGGGGCCUCCUCACACGGAACCUGGGGUCAAGUGUGCACUGGGCCACAUUCACGGACAACCCAGCCCCUGGGAAGAGCCAGCUGCCACGGUCACAACCUCAUCCCCAGGUCACAGCUGCUGCUGGGCCCUCACGCUCUUCCAGAAUCCCUGGCCGUCCCUGUGCCACGUCUCCUGACCGCCUCGUCUCUGCCCCGCCUGCCCCAUGUGAUGGGCCUUCUCCCCUAGAGCCCAGAGGCCUAGCUGUGUCCUCCAGGGUGCGAGGGCACUGCCUGGCACAUAGGGUGCUCAAGGCCACCUCAAUACUGUCUAUAAAACUGGGUUUGCCCCAC